RNAcentral lists this ribosomal RNA (250 nucleotides) under uncultured bacterium. RNAcentral describes it as "partial 16S ribosomal RNA". It matches the Rfam family "Bacterial small subunit ribosomal RNA", at positions 524 to 773 of the family's 1533-position model. The record is from RNAcentral.
UACAGAGGGUGCGAGCGUUAAUCGGAAUGACUGGGCGUAAAGCGCGCGUAGGCGGUUAUAUAAGUUGGGUGUGAAAUCCCUGGGCUCAACCUAGGAAUUGCAUUCAAAACUGUAUGACUUGAGUGAAGUAGAGGUGAGUGGAAUUUCCGGAGUAGCGGUGAAAUGCGUAGAUACCGGAAGGAACACCAGUGGCGAAGGCGACUCACUGGGCUUUAACUGACGCUGAGGUGCGAAAGCGUGGGGAGCAAAC